CACCUUAGAACUGUGGCAACAGCUGCCCGGAGCAGGUGGCCCCAGAACGGAGAGCUGGAAUGGUGGCUCUGGCAUGCCUGACCACUGACUCGGGACCAGCUGCUGUGGGAAGAGUCAGGGCACUGAUCCCGGGCCUAGGUCUGACUCUUCCUUCGCCUGCCCAGCCCCACCCACACACUCAGCCCCAAGAGCGCAGGGCAUCCCUGAAAGUCUGCUCUGCAAGCAAGGAAAGCCCACCAAGUGCCUCGAAAGCAACAGAGGUGCAGGCCAUCUUCGCCAUCACUGGCCUCUGCUUCCUGCCCGAGCUGGCAGGGGGCGUAGCCUGAGCCUGGUGUUCAGGAGACAGAAGAGGCCUCACCUGGGUAGCAAUGAUGUAUUGGACACCACCAGGGCUGGGCUCCAUGGCCAGUGCAGCUUUCAGCGUAUCAGAGAGAAGAACAGGUGUCAGCUGCAGUCCCUUCAGAAACCUGGGCAAAGAGGGCAGGAAUGCGUGCACGGCUCCAAGAGUAAAAUGUCCAGGAUGGAGACAGCGGGCGGGUGGGGCUGUCAGGGCAGGAGGUGGGGCAGGCACUGCAGGUGGGGAAUGGGUUUCCUUCAGGGAUAGGGAGGAAGUCAUGAGGUAGACAGGACACAGUGGUCGGACUCCACGCUGGCCCCCAGCGGGGCUCGGGCUUUGUGGAUCCUUCCCUUUUCUCUCUUCUGGUGCUGGGAUGGAACCAGGGGCACUUCGCCACAAAGCUACGUUCCCCAUCCUUCAGUGUCCACGUGUACACAUGGCCCACGUGGCCCCAGGCAGGAUGUGCCAUGGUGCUUGCUACCCGGCCCAGGCUCAGUGUCAUGACCUUCGGUGCCUGUGCCUGGCAGGAAGGUCCAGGGCACUGUCUCCAAGGAAGGACGGGGAAAGGACCACACUCACUUGUCUCCAUUCGUCUCUGGGGGGAAGCUGUGUCUCACAGCAGCCACAAACUCAGCCACGGUGUCCUCCAGGGUGAAGAUCACAGCGUUGGGGCCCGCGUCAAACGUGUACGCCACCUGGAGCCCACGGCAGUCAACCUAGUGCUCACACAGGGCCCACCCCUCCCAGACCCUCUAUCUGCCAGGGGGAUGUGGGUGUCCAGGAGCCGAGGGAGGCCCGUGGGGAACAAAAAUGAGAAGUACUGCCGCCUGCCACUCAGGAAGAGGCAGUGAGGCUGUGACCCGAGGGGCCAGGCAACCAGCCAAGUAGCCCACAGCACCCUGGAGCCUCCCGGCUCUGCCUGCAGCAGGGGUCACGUCUGAGCCGCCCUGCCGCGCCUCACCUUCGUCUGCCCGUGGCAGGCGUUGAAACGGUGCACCAGCUGCACGAUCCGUCUGGAGACAUCGUUGAGGUAGGAGAUUGGGGGGAAAGUGUCCAGGCAGGUGGCGUGGAACUGGUUGCUGUCCUUCAUGGUCAGCUCAGCAAAACCCGGGAAGUCCCGGGCCUGGAUGCAGGAGAUCAUCUCCCGCAUGCGCGACGGCACCACCGACUCUGCCCGGAACUGCAAGGUUCAGGCCGUUCUCCAAGGAGGCGCUGGCUCUGGGACCACAGCGUGGCUCCAGCACAGGCCCCUGAGCGAGAGGCCUGGUGAGCCCCGGGGCUGCCCUCCUGCCCCACUCACCUUGAGCAGGGAGCUGGUCUCCACACUGGUCUGCAUGCCCACUGUGCUGCCCAUCUGCUUCUUCUCCGCGCUCACCUACGGCAGGCGAGCUGAGCUCUGCUGAGCAGGGAGCUGUGCCAAGCCUGCAGACCCCAGCCCCGACACUCGGCCCUCCCACCACGGGCAGGCAGUGGGGGCCAUAGUCAGGUGACCUGCGUUCAGGACUGGCCACAUCCCCCUCACAGAAGGGCAGCAGCCCGGCCACAUGGGGCCACUCCUGACAGCUCGGCCUUGGGUAGGCUCCUUCAGCCCUGCUGACCCAAGAGCCCAGGGAAGCCUGGGAGGAGCCCAGUUCCUGGUCUCAGCCCAACCUGACCACAGGACAGCGAGCCAGCUGCUGGCCACGCCCUAGGCCACUCACCACAAGGACGAGGACUCGGAGCUGGGGCCAAUGUGACUCAGGAGCCACCUGCCGGGCGACACUGUCCUUCCCAUCAGCCUGCUCCCCCAUCUGCCACUCCACAAAGCCCCCGUACAGGCUCCGGCAGGCGCUGCCAGAGCCACGGCGUGCCACUUCGGAGAGGUCGUCCUCAACCCCAUAGACCCGGGCCAGGGUAUAGGCUGCAGGAGGAGGAGGGCAUCAGAAGGGCCGGUACACAGAGCAUCCUUAUCACCUGAGACUUUCUGAGACGGCAGAUCCUGCACAGUGGCUCCCGGGGUCAGCACCCACUGGCUCAGGCACUCCCUGGUUACUUGGCACCUCCCAGGCCACACUAGAGGGGUAGUCUCCUGCAACUACCCAGGGGACCGGAGCCACCGGGGACUGGAGAAAGCUUCUCCAGGGUCAGUGACCAAGUUGGGAUCUGGGGGAUGGGAAAGAGUCUGGAAGGUCCCUGGAGAGAGAUCAAGGCAGGAGGCCUGGGCAGCGUGCCCACUAGGGGUGCAGGUGGCAAUGGGAGGCAGGAUGUGACAGGCUCUCUAGAGGGUGGUCCUGCCUCCAGGCCUGGCUCACCCACAGCCCUAGUCAGAGGCAGCUCAGAAACUUAGCGGGGCCAGUGAGCACCAUUCUGGACUCAGAGACGAGGGUGGUGGCUCGCCACUGUGUGACUGGUGGUGCCACCAGCUGGGGACAGCCUGCCAGAGGUGCCCAAAGCAGAGGGAAGCAGAGCUGAGAUUCUGGUGGCAAGAGCUGGACUCCUGCUGAGCCUGCUGGAGAGCCUGACCCAGCUAUGCCAAGGCCAGGGCAGCCCCUGCAGCCCUCAGUUCCAGGAGGAAGAAGGUCACUCAAGCCAGCCUGAGGUGGUUUUUGUCCCAGACUGCAGGGCCUGAACAGGGCAUGUUCAGAGGUGAGUCCUGGACCACAGAGCCUGGCGCUGGCUCCCCACGUGCUGCAAGAGCACAGAGAACAGAGGGGACCUUGCUGUGGACACCUACCUAGGCAGGCAUAGCCUGCUGCCGAGGAGGCCAGGCCUGCAGCCGUGGGGAAGUUGUUCUCAGAGGCUAUGUGCACCUUGUAGCUGAGGCUCAGAGGCAAUGAGUCUCCAUCGCCUGUGCUUCUCCGCUUCCGAGCCAGGCGGCGAACUGCCGAGAAGGGAAGACAGUGAGUGGUCCUGCCACGGGGCAGACCCGCGCUGGCGUCUUGCCUGCCAGGUGGCACCACCAGUCACACAGCGGGUACAGCUGAAGAAUGACCUCCACCCCUCAGAUAGCCCUCCCCGCUCUGGGAAAGCCUGGGCCCCAGCCAGCUCUCUCCCAGUCAUAUGAAUACCAGAAAUAAUUACAGGAUUAUAGACUGCUGACUGUAUCGAUUAGUGAAUGUGUAUUGACUGAAUAGUGAAUGACGUUAAGCAACGUGCCUGUGAUGUAACGUGAACUGCAAAACUUAGACUUCAGUUAGUGACGUCAGCGUCUACCCCAAGCGUACACCCCAGACCUCACCCAGUUAUAAGCUGUAAGCACAACUGAACUAGGACUUAAAAACCCAGACUUCUGGGGGGCGACGGGACUAACAGGCCUCUGUCACUGUUGUCCCCCCUGCACCAGAUUCCUCCAGCCUGGAUCAAGUUCCAGUGACCUGGACUUAAGACACGUCACUGGUGAGCGCUUGGGACCCUUGAGUGUAGACUCAGUUAGGACUUAGAAUUAGGAUGUGUGUCUGAAGUGUGAUGAGCAUUAAUAAAACAGAUUUGAUUAAA
Molecule: long non-coding RNA, 3811 nt
Organism: Marmota monax (woodchuck)
Lineage: Eukaryota; Metazoa; Chordata; Mammalia; Rodentia; Sciuridae
Exons: 2
Source: RefSeq, a predicted model, not a curated record